Arabidopsis thaliana (thale cress) is the source of this 349-nucleotide long non-coding RNA. RefSeq annotates it as other RNA. The record is from RefSeq. The transcript has a single exon. NCBI's taxonomy places the organism in Eukaryota, Viridiplantae, Streptophyta, Magnoliopsida, Brassicales, Brassicaceae.
AGUACAUCUUUCGUCCAUAUAGGCCUAAUUUCUCAUGUACUUGUUCAUACGCCUCUCUUACACAAAGAUUAGAUGAUUCUCAAUUUGACCGCCACAAUAUUCGGUGAAAUUUUUGAUAAUUUGUUGUACAUGGUACAUAUGAUUGUACAGCUGCAGAAAUCCAAAUGUACAACAGUACGUAAUAAUUGCUAAUGUUAAAGUAUGAACAUUUUAGUGAAAAUGGUCCUGAGUCCAAUGCAUGGUGGCUACACGAGGCUCCAUUUCACUACUGUCUCCACAAAAACGAACGGUCACAUACAGAGACGUGUAACUGUAGAUGCACACAGAGAUUGUGUAAUACCUUCACCGA